CAAAAGCCAAAUAAUAAAUUUAUAUGCUCCGUAUUCCUAAAAAAAGAACAAUUUACUGAAACAAAUGAAAUAUACUUAUAAACUACCCCGAAUGGAAGGAAGAAGAUAAGGGGAAUCAAUAAACGUGGUCAAUUUUAAACAGCAAUGGGCCUUAGUGUAGGAGCAGUGUUUCAUGGAGUCCUUAUUGUCCUUUUCUCAUCAAUUAAGACCUCAAGUCUUAGCACAGUUUCAUGCUCCAUGUCAAGAAGCACUGUACAGGUUGUUUCCAACUGUCCAGUCACAAA
Saccostrea cuccullata (small rock oyster) is the source of this 284-nucleotide long non-coding RNA. RefSeq lists it as uncharacterized. NCBI's taxonomy places the organism in Eukaryota, Metazoa, Mollusca, Bivalvia, Ostreida, Ostreidae. The transcript has 3 exons. The record is from RefSeq and is a predicted model, not a curated record.